UUCAAUGUGCACAAUAGGUGCCAACCAUCCACCCCCUUAUUGCCUUAUGUGGAGGAUUCCUUUCCUCUUAAAGCAAGUCAAACUUGCCUUAUGUUGUGUAAAACAUCCCCCUUUUCAAUCCUUACUUCACUCCCUUGCUAAAACCUCCUCUCUUUCCAUAAGAUUUUGAUACAAUGAACCUAGUCAUGGUUGACCAACCUGCACACACCUUUUGUGCCAUCCACCACCCUCAUUUUCACCCUAAUCUCUAUUUUUU
RNAcentral lists this long non-coding RNA (256 nucleotides) under Gossypium barbadense (sea-island cotton). RNAcentral's name for it is "long non-coding RNA (GBAR_LNC016474)". The record is from RNAcentral. Lineage: Eukaryota; Viridiplantae; Streptophyta; Magnoliopsida; Malvales; Malvaceae.